Molecule: ribosomal RNA, 460 nt
Filed under: uncultured bacterium
Lineage: Bacteria
Description: partial 16S ribosomal RNA
Rfam family: Bacterial small subunit ribosomal RNA
Source: RNAcentral
CCUACGGGAGACAGCAGUGAGGAAUAUUGGUCAAUGGCCGGAAGGCUGACCCAGCCAUGCCGCGUGAAGGUCAGUGCCCUAUGGGCGUUAAACUUCUUUUGUGCGGGAGCAAUAAUGGUCACGUGUGGCCAGACGAGAGUACCGUACGAAUAAGCAUCGGCUAACUCCGUGCCAGCAGCCGCGGUAAUACGGGGGAUGCAAGCGUUAUCCGGAUUUAUUGGGUUUAAAGGGUGCGUAGGCUGUGAGGUAAGUCAGCGGUGAAAUGCCCCCGCUCAACGGGGUGAAGUGCCAUUGAUACUGCCGUGCUGGAAUGCGGAUGCCGUGGGAGGAAGGUGUGGUGUAGCGGUGAAAUGCAUAGAUAUCACACAGAACACCGAGUGCGAAGGCAUCUCACGAAUCCGCGAUUGACGCUGAUGCACGAAAGCGUGGGUAUCAAACAGGAUUAGAUACCCCAGUAGUC